CAGCCGCCGCGGUAAAACGGAGGGUGCAAGCGUUAUCCGGAUUUAUUGGGUUUAAAGGGUCCGUAGGCGGAUCUGUAAGUCAGUGGUGAAAUCUCACAGCUUAACUGUGAAACUGCCAUUGAUACUGCAGGUCUUGAGUAAAUUUGAAGUGGCUGGAAUAAGUAGUGUAGCGGUGAAAUGCAUAGAUAUUACUUAGAACACCAAUUGCGAAGGCAGGUCACUAAGAUUUAACUGACGCUGAUGGACGAAAGCGUGGGGAGCGAACAGGAUUAGAUACCCCAGUAGUCCCUGUCCUUAUACA
Molecule: ribosomal RNA, 301 nt
Filed under: uncultured bacterium
Lineage: Bacteria
Description: partial 16S ribosomal RNA
Rfam family: Bacterial small subunit ribosomal RNA
Source: RNAcentral